This 496-nucleotide ribosomal RNA is filed under the name uncultured bacterium. RNAcentral describes it as "partial 16S ribosomal RNA". It matches the Rfam family "Bacterial small subunit ribosomal RNA", at positions 29 to 507 of the family's 1533-position model. The record is from RNAcentral.
AUGAACGCUGGCGGCGUGCCUCAUACCUGCAAGUCGCGCGAACGGACGAGAAGCUUGCUUCUCUGAUGUUAGCGGCGGACGGGUGAGUAACACGUGGAUAACCUACCUAUAAGACUGGGAUAACUUCGGGAAACCGGAGCUAAUACCGGAUAAUAUUUUGAACCGCAUGGUUCAAAAGUGAAAGACGGUCUUGCUGUCACUUAUAGAUGGAUCCGCGCUGCAUUAGCUAGUUGGUAAGGUAACGGCUUACCAAGGCAACGAUGCAUAGCCGACCUGAGAGGGUGAUCGGCCACACUGGAACUGAGACACGGUCCAGACUCCUACGGGAGGCAGCAGUAGGGAAUCUUCCGCAAUGGGCGAAAGCCUGACGGAGCAACGCCGCGUGAGUGAUGAAGGUCUUCGGAUCGUAAAACUCUGCUAUUAGGGAAGAACAUAUGUGUAAGUAACUGUGCACAUCUUGACGGUACCUAAUCAGAAAGCCACGGCUAACUACGUG